Molecule: transfer-messenger RNA, 343 nt
Filed under: Dialisteraceae
Lineage: Bacteria; Bacillati; Bacillota; Negativicutes; Veillonellales
Also listed under: 1 other name
Description: Dialister sp900547785 Standard tmRNA
Rfam family: transfer-messenger RNA
About the family: Bacterial tmRNA, also known as 10Sa RNA or SsrA, is named for its dual tRNA and mRNA-like properties. Its role is to liberate the mRNA from a stalled ribosome.
Source: RNAcentral
GGGGAUGUACCGGUUUCGACAGGAGAUUCCAUAUCAUAAAUAGCGAGUCGGGAUUCCAUCAACCCCGCUAAACGGUGGAAAACCUUAAACGCAAAACAAGAUUUUGCUUUAGCAGCUUGAUCUGCUAAUGUCCCUUGUUGUUUUCCUAUGACGGCAAGCUGACAUCAACGAAUAGGAUACCGAAAAUGGAAGUUCAGGACAUUGGAGGGAAAGCCAUUCUGAAAUCGGUAAAGGAAGUUUGUUAUUGUACGAAACUUUACUUAAAUUAAAACAAUAACUGCACUCGGAGAAGUUUAUGGGGUGGGCUUUUUGGACAGGGGUUCGACUCCCCUCAUCUCCACCA